UACUUAGGUUAUUACACGCCUCGUGUGC
Molecule: small RNA, 28 nt
Filed under: Bombyx mori (domestic silkworm)
Lineage: Eukaryota; Metazoa; Arthropoda; Insecta; Lepidoptera; Bombycidae
Description: ovarian small RNA-6211
Source: RNAcentral